AGUGAACGCUGGCGGUAGGCCUAACACAUGCAAGUCGAACGGCAGCACAGUAAGAGCUUGCUCUUACGGGUGGCGAGUGGCGGACGGGUGAGGAAUACAUCGGAAUCUACUUUUUCGUGGGGGAUAACGUAGGGAAACUUACGCUAAUACCGCAUACGACCUACGGGUGAAAGCAGGGGAUCUUCGGACCUUGCGCGAUUGAAUGAGCCGAUGUCGGAUUAGCUAGUUGGCGGGGUAAAGGCCCACCAAGGCGACGAUCCGUAGCUGGUCUGAGAGGAUGAUCAGCCACACUGGAACUGAGACACGGUCCAGACUCCUACGGGAGGCAGCAGUGGGGAAUAUUGGACAAUGGGCGCAAGCCUGACCCAGCCAUACCGCGUGGGUGAAGAAGGCCUUCGGGUUGUAAAGCCCUUUUGUUGGGAAAGAAAAGCAGCAGGUUAAUACCCCGCUGUUCUGACGGUACCCAUAGAAUAAGCACCGGCUAACUUCGU
This 491-nucleotide ribosomal RNA is filed under the name uncultured bacterium. RNAcentral describes it as "partial 16S ribosomal RNA". It matches the Rfam family "Bacterial small subunit ribosomal RNA", at positions 29 to 506 of the family's 1533-position model. The record is from RNAcentral.